Molecule: RNase P RNA, 153 nt
Filed under: Gammaproteobacteria bacterium
Lineage: Bacteria; Pseudomonadati; Pseudomonadota; Gammaproteobacteria
Description: partial RNase P RNA component class A
Rfam family: Bacterial RNase P class A
About the family: Ribonuclease P (RNase P) is a ubiquitous endoribonuclease, found in archaea, bacteria and eukarya as well as chloroplasts and mitochondria.
Source: RNAcentral
GAAGUUGGUCGGAUGGUCGCUGGAAGGUUUACCUUUCAGAGGAAAGUCCGGGCUCCACAGAGCAAAGUGCUAGCUAACAGCUAGGUAUGGUGACAUAACGGAAAGUGCUGCAGAGAUUUAAACCGCCUAUUUCGAUAGGUAAGGGUGAGAAGG